UACGGGGGGGGCAAGCGUUGUUCGGAAUUACUGGGCGUAAAGGGCUCGUAGGCGGCCAACUAAGUCGGACGUGAAAUCCCCAGGCUCAACUUGGGAACUGCAUCCGAUACUGGAUGGCUUGAAUCCGGGAGAGGGAUGCAGAAUUCCAGGUGUAGCGGUGAAAUGCGUAGAUAUCUGGAGGAAUACCGGUGGCGAAGGCGGCAUCCUGGACCGGCAUUGACGCUGAUGAGCGAAAGCUAGGGGAGCAAACGGG
This 253-nucleotide ribosomal RNA is filed under the name uncultured bacterium. RNAcentral's name for it is "partial 16S ribosomal RNA". It matches the Rfam family "Bacterial small subunit ribosomal RNA", at positions 524 to 776 of the family's 1533-position model. The record is from RNAcentral.